Molecule: long non-coding RNA, 1780 nt
Organism: Heterocephalus glaber (naked mole-rat)
Lineage: Eukaryota; Metazoa; Chordata; Mammalia; Rodentia; Bathyergidae
Source: Ensembl
CCCAGUUGUUUUUCAUCUGACAUUCCCUGAGAAACCUUGUCUACUCCACCAGUGCUAGAUAGAGUACAUAUUUUCAAGUCUCUAAAAUAGAGAUUCAUCUUAAAAAUGACAGUCUCAAUGUACUAUGGACCAGAGUUAGCCAUAGUGUGAUUGUUCUCAGGACACUUUCUAGGAUUUGGGAGGAAAACCUUCCCCUGACCUCUCCCCAUGACAUCCUCAGCCUCUGCCCUUGCAGAGGGACUGUCACUAGGAUGAUGAGCUCAUUUCAUGGGGAGUAAUGAAUGCAGGGCUUUCUAGGAAACUUCUAAUUGGCCCUAAGAGUGAUGAUACAUUGGAAAUGACAGACAUGAUGCAUAGCCUGUUUUUAUCUCCUUAAUUUUCUCUCAUCUUACCUUGCUUCCUUUAUUAUCAGUAGACGUUUCUGAUGCAUAGUAAUCACAACUGAACUGCAGGUUGGUACAAAUCCCUGUGGCAUCUUGAGCCUUUUCCACCCUUCCAGCCUCCUCCCACUCAGCCCUCGCACAGCUUUGAAGGGAAUUGUCUGAUAAGUUUCAUUUUUUUAUUGUUAAUGCUUGGGGUGGGAGUUCACAUGCAUUUUCACAUUGAUCAUAUAUAUCUCAACGUGCUUGGAUUUAGUAUUCAGUUGUAACACAAUUUUUGUUUGUUCCUUUGCAUUUUUUAUAGACAAGAUUAUGUUUGGAGCCAAUAGAUGUUGUUUGGCUUGUUUUCACAUGGAAAAUCAUAAGAAAUAUGAUGCCUUCUAUUUCCUUUUCUCUUCUGAUAGCUCUGAUGGCAGCCUCCAGUACAAUGUUGAGUAGAAGUGGCAAGAAUGAGCAUCUUUCUCUGAUUUUCUAUGUUCAAAAAACAGUGAAUUCUAAUCACAGUCACAGGAGCACAGAAUAGGACCCUUCUCCAUGUGAGCCUUCAGUGCACAGUCAAGCCCUGACCAUGACCACAUCUGGAUUCCUCACCCCGAAGAAGCUUACAGUGUUUGUUAGAGAACAACAGAGGAAUCAAGAGAAGGAGGAAGAGAAGAAGAAAAGCAGGAAGGGAGAAAAGAAAUAAUGAAGCGCUGCCACCAUGUGAGCAACUUCCCUCAGCCAAGACCCACCCUUCCUUGGAGCUCCCCACCUUAGGCUGAAAACGUGAGCCAGGCUGACCCUGAACUCCAGGGCUGAAGUGAUCCUCCUGCCUCCAGCUCCAAAGUAGCAGAAUCUCCAGAUUUUCCCUGCCUAAUACGGGCCCAGAAAGCCUAUAGCCCAGGUGCUGACCCUACAGAUGUGUUUCAGCCCCGCCCACAGAAGCAGCAGGAGGGCUCUUUCUCUGGACUUUGUUCAACGUGAUUAUCACAGAACCAGUUUUCCCGUCCUUCUGAGUUGUCCUCAGAUUUUGCUUCUUGUUACUGUCACAGCACCGGCUCUGCCUUCCUGCAUUGCUCAGUGGCCUCCCACCCUGUCGAAGUCCACAGUCUGGGAGGGGAAGAAAGUGUAACUGUGGAUCUACUCACCGAUGGGCCCUGUUGCUCCUUCCCUCAGUCCCAAGAUGGUGUGUGCCCUGAGUCUGCGGAGAGUGUGGUGGAUAAACUAAUGGUCAACUUGAAACACGCAGCUGAACUGAGGACACAUAACUUACAGGAUUAUUUUAUAAUAUUCACCCAAAAAGUCAAAUGCAGAUGAGUGCAAGAAAUCUGUCCACAUGCUAGAGACCUAAAGAAUCCAGCCAAGAGCCUAGAUCCCAUGGACAAUGUCCUUGAAAUAAAUAGGACACACGUGCAUAAAUA